Molecule: ribosomal RNA, 1539 nt
Filed under: Triticum aestivum (bread wheat)
Lineage: Eukaryota; Viridiplantae; Streptophyta; Magnoliopsida; Poales; Poaceae
Description: partial small subunit ribosomal RNA
Source: RNAcentral
AUGGAGGACGCCACGUACAACACCAUCCUCGUGGUCCUCCUGGCCGUGUCCAUGAUCUACUUCUUCAAGCCCGCCUCAGGCCGCCGACCGCCGGGCCCGCGCACGCUCCCCAUCAUCGGGAGCGUGCACCACUUCGUGAACACCCUGGUGCACCGGAGACUCCGGGACCUGGCCGGCGUGCACGGGCCCAUCAUGAUGCUCAAGAUCGGGCCGAUGCCGCUGGUGGUGGUGACGUCGCGGGAGCUGGCGCGCGAGGUGCUCAAGGUGCAGGACCCCAACUUCGCCAACCGGCCCCGGCUGCUGGUUGGGGGCAUCUGCGGCUAUGGCUGGACCGACAUCAUCUUCGCGCCCACCAGCGAUUACUGGCGCAAGAUCCGCAAGCUCUGCAUCCACGAGAUCCUCAGCCCCAAGCGCGUGCUCCAGUUCCAGUUCAUACGCGAGGAGGAGGUGCAGAGGCAGGUGGACCUCAUCCGCGCCGCCGCCGCGGCCGGCGAGCCCGUCGACGUCACCAGGAUGGUGUACGACAUCAGCAGCCGGACCAUCUCGAGGUCGGCGUUCGGGGAGGUGCGGCCCGACAUGCCGGUGUUCCAGCACGCCAUCAAGCGCGUUGUUGGGCUGUCCAGUGGGUUCAACGUGCCCGACCUCUUCCCGCGGCUCAAGGAGGUGCUCGGCGAGGCCACCGGGAUGAAGAGGAAGCUGCGAGAGAUCCACCGGACGUUCGACGACAUACUCGUGGACAUCAUCGAGGGGAGGCGGAGGGUGCGCGCCGACAAGAUCGCUGCCGGUAAGGAUGUCGUCGAUGAGAACGUCGUCGACGUCAUGCUCUCCUUGCAGAAGGGUGACAACCCCUGGGGGUUCCCGGUCACGGACAACACCAUCAAAGCAGUCGUACUGGACAUGUUUGCCGGCGGCACGGGGACCUCCGGCUCGUCGACGGAGUGGGCGAUGUCCGAGAUCAUGCGCACCCCGCGCGUGAUGAAGAAGCUGCAGGACGAGGUCCGGCGAGCCUUCCACGGCAAGGAGAGCAUCAGCGAGACGGAGCUCCGCAGCAACAGCGUCAGGUACCUGAAGCUCACCAUGAAGGAGGCGAUCCGGCUGCACCCGGCGGCGCCAUUGCUGGUGCCUAGAGAGAGCAUUGAGACGACGGAGAUCGGCGGGUACGUGGUGCCGGCCAAGUCCAGGAUGGUGGUGAACGCGUGGGCGAUCUCAAGGGACCCGCGGUACUGGAAGGACCCGGAGGAGUUCGUGCCGGAGCGGUUCGAGGAGGACGGCGCGGUGGACUUCCACGGGCUCCAUUUCGAGUUCACGCCGUUCGGGGCCGGGAGGAGGAUGUGCCCAGGGUACAACUACGGACUCGCCGGCAUGGAGCUCACGCUGCUGCAGCUCAUGUACCACUUCGACUGGAGGCUGCCCGCCGGCGUGGAAGAGGUGGACAUGGCGGAGUCCAUGGGGCUCGGCGUGCGCAGGAAGAACCCCCUCAUGCUCUAUGCCACUCCUUACAUUGUCCCUCCUCCUGCUGCUCCCUUAGCUUCGACAUGA